UACGUAGGGUGCGAGCGUUAAUCGGAAUUACUGGGCAUAAAGCGUGCGCAGGCGGUUCGUUGUGUCGGUGGUGAAAGCCCCGGGCUUAACCUGGGAAUGGCCAUGGAAACUGGCGAACUGGAGUGUGGCAGAGGGGGGUGGAAUUCCGCGUGUAGCAGUGAAAUGCGUAGAGAUGCGGAGGAACACCGAUGGCGAAGGCAGCCCCCUGGGCUAGCACUGACGCUCAGGCACGAAAGCGUGGGGAGCAAACAGG
RNAcentral lists this ribosomal RNA (253 nucleotides) under uncultured bacterium. Its description in RNAcentral is "partial 16S ribosomal RNA". It matches the Rfam family "Bacterial small subunit ribosomal RNA", at positions 524 to 776 of the family's 1533-position model. The record is from RNAcentral.